GCCGUUGUGGUGUAAUUGGAAACAUACUCGACGCGUAUUCGAGAGGUUCAGGGUUCGAAUCCCGGCAAGGGCA
RNAcentral lists this transfer RNA (73 nucleotides) under Stegodyphus mimosarum. It matches the Rfam family "tRNA". Rfam says of the family: Transfer RNA (tRNA) molecules are approximately 80 nucleotides in length. Their secondary structure includes four short double-helical elements and three loops (D, anti-codon, and T loops). Further hydrogen bonds mediate the characteristic L-shaped molecular structure. tRNAs have two regions of fundamental functional importance: the anti-codon, which is responsible for specific mRNA codon recognition, and the 3' end, to which the tRNAs corresponding amino acid is attached (by aminoacyl-tRNA synthetases). tRNAs cope with the degeneracy of the genetic code in two manners: having more than one tRNA (with a specific anti-codon) for a particular amino acid; and 'wobble' base-pairing, i.e. permitting non-standard base-pairing at the 3rd anti-codon position. The record is from Rfam by way of RNAcentral. Lineage: Eukaryota; Metazoa; Arthropoda; Arachnida; Araneae; Eresidae.